This 460-nucleotide ribosomal RNA is filed under the name uncultured bacterium. Its description in RNAcentral is "partial 16S ribosomal RNA". It matches the Rfam family "Bacterial small subunit ribosomal RNA", at positions 338 to 795 of the family's 1533-position model. The record is from RNAcentral.
CCUACGGGAGGCAGCAGUGAGGAAUAUUGGUCAAUGGUCGGGAGACUGAACCAGCCAUGCCGCGUGCAGGAGGACGGCACUGUGAAUUGUAAACCUCUUUUGUCCGAGGACAAACCUGAAUACGUGUAUUCGGCUGAGAGUACUUGACGAAAAAGGAUCGGCUAACUCCGUGCCAGCAGCCGCGGUAAUACGGAGGAUGCAAGCGUUAUCCGGAUUUAUUGGGUUUAAAGGGUGCGUAGGCGGUUUGAUAAGUUCGGGGUGAAAUGCCCGAGCUUAACUCCGGACCUGCCUAUAAUACUGUCGAUCUAGAGAGGGGGAGAGGUAGGCGGAAUGUCCGGUGUAGCGGUGAAAUGCUUAGAGAUCAUGCAGAACACCGAUUGCGAAGGCAGCUUACCAACUUCUAACUGACGCUGAGGCACGAAAGCGUGGGGAGCGAACAGGAUUAGAUACCCCGGUAGUC